GUAGGUGGCAAGCGUUGUCCGGAAUUAUUGGGCGUAAAGCGCGCGCAGGCGGUCCUUUAAGUCUGAUGUGAAAGCCCACGGCUCAACCGUGGAGGGUCAUUGGAAACUGGGGGACUUGAGUACAGAAGAGGAAAGCGGAAUUCCAAGUGUAGCGGUGAAAUGCGUAGAGAUUUGGAGGAACACCAGUGGCGAAGGCGGCUUUCUGGUCUGUAACCGACGCUGAGGCGCGAAAGCGUGGGGAGCAAACAGGAUUAGAUACCCUGGUAGUCCACGCCGUAAACGAUGAGUGCUAAGUGUUAGGGGGUUUCCGCCCCUUAGUGCUGCAGCUAACGCAUUAAGCACUCCGCCUGGGGAGUACGGCCGCAAGGCUG
Molecule: ribosomal RNA, 371 nt
Filed under: uncultured organism
Description: partial 16S ribosomal RNA
Rfam family: Bacterial small subunit ribosomal RNA
Source: RNAcentral